RNAcentral lists this ribosomal RNA (622 nucleotides) under Protodinium simplex. Its description in RNAcentral is "eukaryotic LSU rRNA". The stretch from base 229 to 383 matches the Rfam family "5.8S ribosomal RNA". Lineage: Eukaryota; Dinophyceae; Suessiales; Suessiaceae. The record is from RNAcentral.
CAUUCGCACAAAUCCAACAUAUAUUCCUGUGAAUUGCUUUUGUGAGGGUCCGUGCGUGGAUGUGACGUCGUUGGAUUCUUCGGGUUCAGCGGCGUUCCUUCGUGCGGAUGCUCGCGGGCAUCGGGGCAUGCAGCCGAGCCGCGGCUCCUGCAUGUCUCGGUGUCGUUCUUCGCGUAUGGCGCUUCGGUGUCAUCCACUGCCAAUGGCUUCUGCCAUUUUUUCAUUUACAACUUUCAGCGAUGGAUGUCUCGGUUCGAACAACGAUGAAGGGCGCAGCGAAGUGCGAUAAGCAUUGUGAAUUGCAGAAUUCCGUGAACCGACAGGGACUUGAACGCAUAUUGUACUUUUGGGAUAUCCCUGAAAGUAUGUCUGCUUCAGUGCCUAUGCUUUAUUGUUCCAACAACUCUGCCAUCUGGUACGGUUGUUGCGAGUGCUUGUGCCUCAAGAUGCACAUUCUGGUGCUCCUGAGGUAUGCAAUUGACGAGGCUACGCUGCAACCRCCAGCUUACUGAGCUUCACUGCACUGUUUGCNUGUGUGUGUGGYGSCUAUGAGCCUUGAUCCUUCYUGAGCUUUCUUAGCUCCUACGGCAUGAAGUUAGAUCAGCUUACCCGCUGAAUUUAA